This 69-nucleotide transfer RNA is filed under the name Aluterus monoceros (unicorn leatherjacket). RNAcentral's name for it is "tRNA-Arg". It matches the Rfam family "tRNA". From Rfam's summary of the family: Transfer RNA (tRNA) molecules are approximately 80 nucleotides in length. Their secondary structure includes four short double-helical elements and three loops (D, anti-codon, and T loops). Lineage: Eukaryota; Metazoa; Chordata; Actinopteri; Tetraodontiformes; Monacanthidae. The record is from RNAcentral.
AGGCGGUUAGUUUAAGAAAAACCUUUGAUUUCGGCUCAAAUACUUAUGGUUAGAGUCCAUAACCCCCUU